This is a small nuclear RNA of Hypanus sabinus (Atlantic stingray), 111 nucleotides long. The record is from RefSeq and is a predicted model, not a curated record. NCBI's taxonomy places the organism in Eukaryota, Metazoa, Chordata, Chondrichthyes, Myliobatiformes, Dasyatidae.
AUGCCCCUCCAUUUCGACAGCACAUGUACUAAAGUUGGAGUGAUACCGAGAAGAUUAGCAUGACUCCUACGCAAGGAUGACAUGCAGAUUGGUGAAGACUUUCGUAUUUGA